This 23-nucleotide non-coding RNA is filed under the name Cricetulus griseus (Chinese hamster). The record is from RNAcentral. Lineage: Eukaryota; Metazoa; Chordata; Mammalia; Rodentia; Cricetidae. RNAcentral also lists the same sequence under 1 other name.
ACUUUGAAUCCAGCGAUCCGAGU